UCCUCCAGUAAGUGCAAAGUGAAACUCACAUAAACUGAAGCAAUAUUUUAAAGACUCAGAUGCUAGAAGAGAGAAGCCACAAACUUGAGCAGCUGAUGGACUCUGGGGUCACACUACUGUAACUAAACCCAAAUGACCAAACCACACAAGAAACGUUCACUUCUCUAUUACUGUACAUCAAUUUCUGGUGCAUAACCGUGCAUCACCCAGGUGGGUGCUUCAUAUUGGUGGUGGUUUGUGAAGUUCCCCCUUCCCUGUGAAGCGCUGUCGAGAAAAGUGCUAUAUAAAUUGUGAUGUGGAAGGGUCAUG
Long non-coding RNA from Alosa sapidissima (American shad), 309 nucleotides. RefSeq lists it as uncharacterized. The transcript is spliced from 3 exons. The record is from RefSeq and is a predicted model, not a curated record. Lineage: Eukaryota; Metazoa; Chordata; Actinopteri; Clupeiformes; Clupeidae.